UGCUGACAGCGUCAGUGGCGCUGGCGGCGCGGUCGGCAUGUCUGGGGCAUCCGAGGCGCGCUCUGCUUCGGGGCGUCUGCGGCGUGGUGGCGGCGUCCCAGGCGCAGAUGGAAUCGGCGGUGCAGUAGGUACAUCGAGAGCGUUAGCUGCGUCGGAGGCGCGGUCCGCGAGUCAGUGGCGUCCGUGGCGUCCAUGGCGUGACUGCACCGUCCGAGGUGUGUCGGCGGCCUCGUCCCAGGUGCGGAUGGCAUCGGCGGGGCGUCGGGAGUGUCGACGUCACGGUAAGCUGGUCGGGGGCAUCCACGUGUUGGGGACGUCCGCGGGGACGUCCGCGGCGCCGUCUGCAUAGGCGGCGUCUGCGGCAUGUCGGGGACUUCCGCGGCGUGGUCGGCGCCAUCAGCGGCGUCUCCGGUGCGGUGUCCAAGGCGCGGAUGGCAUUGGCGGCGCGGUUGGCACGUCCGGAGUGUCGGUGGCGCGGCAGGCUCGCGGCGUGGUCAGCGGGUCGGCAGCGUCCCAGGCGCUGACAGCGUCAGUGGCAACGGCGGCGCGGUCGGCUCGUAGGGGGCGUCAGCGGCGUCCGCGGCGUAGUCUGCCUGUCGGGGGCGUCCGCGGUGCGGUUGGCAUCAGCUGCAUCCAGAGGGUCUGCGGCGUCUGCACGUCGGGGGCGUCGGCGGCGAGGUCGGCGCGUCAGGGGCAUCUGUGGCGCGACGGCGGCGGCAUCCCAGGCGCAGAUGGCAUCAGCUGCGCGUCGGGAGUGUCGGCGACACGAUGGAGUCUUGAUUUUGUCGCCCAGGCUGGAGUACAGUGGCGCGAUCUCGGCUCACUUCAACCUCCACCUUCUGGGUUCAAGUAAUUCUCCUGCCUCAGCCUCCUGAGUAACUGGGAUUACAGGCUUCUGCCUAAUUUAUGUUCUCUUAGUAGAGACGGGGUUUUGCCAUGUUACCCAGGCUGGUCUUUAACUCCUAACCUCAGGUGAUCUGCCCUCCUCGGCCUCCCAAAGUGCUAGGAUUACAGGUGUGAGCCACCGUGCCUGGCGGCUUCCUUUACCUUCUUAAUAAACUUGCUUUCACUCUGCACUGCAUACUCGCCCUGAAUUCUUUCUUGUGUGAGAUCCAAGAACCCUCUCUUGGGGUCUGGGUUGGGACCCCUCUCCUGUAACAGGAUUACAGGCAUGAGCCACUGCACCCAGCCCAGAUGUUGUAUUUUAACUUUUUCUGGCCAUGUGACUUGCUUUUAAAUAAAACGUAAGAGAAGGUGACACGUCACUUCUGGGCAAAAGCUUAUAGAUCCAGUGCCACAUUCCCUUUUCCUGCUUGUUUAACCAAGGAAGUGCCCUCUGAGGCAGCCUGGAUCCCUGAGUAACCACUCGGAGCGGAGCCCUCACACCAGCACUGCCUGGAGUUGGAUGGCAUGUGUGGGGUGGACAGGACACAUCCGGUGAGUGAAGCCACCACCAAGUGGAGGUUGUUUGUUAUAGCAGCAUCACCUGCUCACCCACAGAUCACAGUCUGAUCUGCUACUGCACCUGGAUGCAUUAAUGUAAGAGGAGAGCAGGAUGGGGUCACUGCUGGCCUGUAGCUAAGCACUGUGCCCAGGCACUGGGAAUGGCAGCCACCAGGAGGGAUCUGUUCUGUGACUGCCAGAGGAAGGGCCAGUCUUAGCAUGGCUACUCCAGGCUGGCUCUUGGUUGAAAGUUAGAUGCUUUUAGAACCCCAAUUUACCCUUUCAGAUCGUUUGUAGACUGUCCUUACAUAUGUGAAGCACAGGCUGGAUUUCUGCUCACUGGUUCUGCAAACCUGCCUACAUACAAAUGGUAACUGAAGGGCCAUUCCUCACCAAAGACUUACCAGCAGUUUUAUAAACCGUCUUUGACUCUAAGUCAGUGGUUUUUUAAAGUGAGCCCUAAUGAAGCUAGAAGAGAGGGGCUGUGUUGGGGGAGACCUCAGAGUGCCGUGGGAGGAGCCCAGGUAAUUAUAUCCCAAAAUACAGUACCCUGGCAUGCAGUUUCUUUCACAUGGAAGGCCCUUGAAGGACAGCAGAUACUGAAGAGGCUUUUCUUGGAUACUCCCUUUUCUAUCUUAAAAGCCUAGGCUUGCCCACAAGAACACACUCACUUUCCAUCCCCCUCUCCAAAAUCUAGUAUAGAGAAGACUGAGGAAUGCAGCCACAUCUGGGCAGACUUAAAAAAUAUAAUGUCUGCCUCUCAGGUGCAAGUUCCAAAGAGAAUCAGUCCUUUACAACUUCUGUCUCCCAAGUCCAUUCAUUCUUUCCAGUCACCAUUUCUGAUCUCUCAAAAGCACUGUGUCCAUUCCCCACUCUCCCCUGUGAAGAAUGACACAGAAGCACCUGCACCCCACUCACGCAUGGGAAGGUAAAAUGUGUGUGUCUUUUUCUCCUUCUCCUCUCAAGCUGCUCUUUCGUCGGUUCCUUUGUUUAUUGGUUUUGUUUUUGUUUUUGUUUUUUCAGAUGGAGUCUUGCUCUGUCACCCAGGCUGUAGUGCAGUGGCACGAUCUCAGCUCACUGCAACCUCCACCUCUCAGGUUCAAGUGAUUCUCCUGCCUCAGCCUCCCGAGUAGCUGGGAUUAAAGGCACCUGCCACCACGCCCAGCUAAUUUUGUAUUUUUCAUAGAAACAGGGUUUCACCAUGUUGGCCAGGCUGGUCUUGAACUCCUGACUUCAGAUGAUCUGCCGGCCUCAGCCUCCUAAAGUGCUGGGAUUAUAGGUGUGAGCCACCAUGCCUAGGCUGUCAGUUCCUUUUUUAAUAAAUCUUCAGAGAGUAGAGGGGAAGCUGUCCCCCUUCGCUUCCACAGCAUCUUCCACAGAACUCGCCCCUUUUUUUAAACUUCUUUAUUCAUAAAAUUUCAUUCCAAAAAAAGCUUAUCAUGACUAGACCAGGCUCUGAGCACUGCUGUCUAGUGUGUGCUGGCACUGUACCCGUGGUGUGAACCAGAAAGCUGAGACUACAGGGCCAGCUUUCAAGGGGUGAAACUCAGCCCACAGCUAGGACUAGGGAACAGAAAGGUACAGAUGAAAUGGAAGUAAUAAACCUUAGUCUACACAAUGGUCUAAAUACAUUUAUAAUGACGAUAAGCAUGAUUUUUUUUUCUUAGAGACAGGAUCUUACUCUGUUGCCCAGGCUAGAGUGCAGUGGUGCAAUCACUGCUCACUGUAACCUCCAACUCCUGGGCCCAAGAUAACUUGCCUCAGCCUCCUGAGUAGCUGAGACUCCAGACACAUACCACCAUGCCAGGCUAAUUUUCUUUAUUUUUAUUUUUUUGUAGAGAUAGGGUCUGUUGUCCAGGCUGGUCUCAAACUCCUGGAUUCAAGCGAUCUUCCCACCUAGACCUUCUAAAGUGCCGGGAUUAUAGCGUUCUCACUAGAGAGAUAUUGGGACAACAUACAGAAGCAGUCCUGCUGGUGGAUCAAGUUUGUACAGACUGAUGGAACUGCCACUAGAAUUUGCUGGGCAAAAGAAAUGCAGUGGAUGGGAGACACACUGAAAGAAUGGAGGACAGACAAAAUCACCCGAGAACGAUGGUUUCCAGAAGUAGGGUAAGUGGAAUGGUGAAUUUCCUGAGCACAGUGAACAUCGGCAGGCUGCCAGGAAAAGAGCAAAGUAUGUCAGACUCCAGGGUUGGUUGAUUGGUUUUUUCUUUUACAUGCUAUAUAUUUUUAAUUAAGCUUAUUAAUUUUCCAAAUUAAUUUUCACAUUUACCAUCAACAAAUCACAUUGAAUAACAAAAAAAUACAUGGAGAUUAAUUUCAUACCACUUUCACUUAGCAAUUUAUUUAUUUUUUAUUUUUGGUGACAGAGUCUCACUCUUGCCCAGCCUACAGUGCAGUGGCGCAAUCUUGGCUCAUUGCAACCUCUGCCUUCUGGGUUUAAGCAAUUCUCCUGCCAGGCUGGUCUGAAACUCCUGACCAAAGGUAACCCACCUGACUCAGCUUCCCAAAGUGCUGAGAUUACAGGUGUGAGCCACCGCACCCAGUCUUCACUUGGCAAUUUAAGACACCAUAUUGUCCAACCACCCUAAAGGUUGUGCUGAAACUACUUCACAAUGUGAACUGAUACAUCGUUUGACAAAUCAGGUCAGGCGUAUGCAUCAGCAAUCGUUAAAUGGUCCUGACCAGCUGGGAGUGGUGGCUCUCUCCUAUAAUCCCAGCACUUUGGGAGGCCAAGACAGGUGGAUCAUUUGAGGUCAGGAGUUCAAGACCACCGUGGCCAACAUGGUGAAACCCCAUCUGUACUAAAAGUACCAAAACUAGCUGGGUGUGGUGGUGGGCACUUGCAGUCCCAGCUACUUGGGAGGCUGAGGCAGGAGAAUCGCUUGAACCUGGGAGACAGAGGUUACAGUGAGCCAAGAUCGCACCACUGCACUCCAGCCUGGGCAACAGAGCGAGACUCUGUCUCAAAAAAAAAGGUCUGACCUUGCACCUAAUUACUUCUUGUUGAGAAACUUACUCUUUUUUUUUUUGAGACGGAGUUUCGCUCUUGUUACCCAGGCUGGAGUGCAAUGGCGCGAUCUCGGCUCACGACAACCUCCGCCUCCUGGGUUCAGGCAAUUCUCCUGCCUCAGCCUCCUGAGUAGCUGGGAUUACAGGCACGCGCCACCACGCCCAGCUAAUUUUUUGUAUUUUUAGUAGAGAGAGGGUUUCACCAUGUUGACCGGGAUGGUCUCGAUCUCUUGACCUCAUGAUCCACCCACCUCGGCCUCCCAAAGUGCUGGGAUUACAGGCUUGAGCCACCGUGCCCGGCUGUUGAGAAACUUAUUCUAAGGGAAUAAUCUAAAGAAAGAAAAAACACACAUGCAUAAAUGGGUUCACUGCAGUGUCUGUGGGAAAAACAUAAAUGUCAGACAGCAUCACAAUGGUUAAAUAAACUAGGAUACGUACUUGAGGGAACAUGACAUUAUAACUCUAUAAUACAAAUACUACUGGAAAAUGAAUAUUAAAUAAAACAAAUGGAUACAAAAUCAUGUAGGGUCUACAACUGUUACAAGAUACAUUCUGUAUAUGGAAAAAGGCUGCAAAUGAUUAUUUAUUUAUUUAGAGAUAAAGUCUCACUCUGUCCCCCAGGCUGUGCAGUGCAGUGGCAUGAUCUCAGCUCACUGCAAUCUCCACCUCCCAGGUUCAAGCGAUUCUCCUGCCUCAGCUUCCCAAGUAGCUGGAAUUACAGGCACCCACUACCACACUCGGCUAAUUUUUAUAUUUUUAGUAGAGACAGGGUUUCGACACAUUGGCCAGGCUGGUCUUGAACUCCUGAUCUCAGGUGAUCCACCGUCUUGGCCACCCAAAGUGCUAGGAUUACAGGAGUGAGCCACCACGCUAGGCUGAAAAUGAGUAUUUAAAAUUGUGUGUUAAAGGGUAGAAUUAUGGGUGAUUUUCUUUCCCAAAUUUUAUGUAAUGAGGCUAUAUAUAAAUAUAUAAAAUAUAUUCUUAUGAACCUCUCACCCACUCCUAACACCCAGAGAUUCCAGGAUGCAGCUCAAUGCAUAGUCAACAGACUGCCAGGGCUGAAAUAGCCCAUCUCCACCUGCUUCCAGAUGCGACCCUGAGCGGCCAAUGAGCUAGAGAAAGAAAGUCAGAGCUGGAACAGCAGCACAGGGGAGAGCAGCAGCUCAGCCAACCUGAUCCAGCACCAGCUUCACAUUAUCAACCACACUGCAUCCAGAGAGCAGCUAAAAAAGAAUGUUCAGGAAUUUUAUAUUCACACCUAAAGAUGUCUUAUGAAACUGCCUGGACCUACAUUUUUUAAAGCUGCAACAACAACAAAACUUUCUAUAUUUUCAAUUAAGUCCAAAAAGUAUUUUAGAUUAUGCCUUUUAAAAGCAAAUAAGGUAUACUUAAUGGUUAAAACGUCUUCCCCCUAAGAUCAGGAACAAGACUAGGAUGUUCACUCUCACCAUUGUAUCUAUUCAACACUCUACUUGAGGUUUUGAUAGUGCAAUUAGAUAAAACAAACAUCUCAUUUGGAAAGGAAGAACUAAAGCUAUCUGUAUUUUCAGAGAACAUCUUAUAUACAGAAAAUCCUAAGGGAUCCACUUAAAAAUUAUUAGAACUAUGAUAAGUGAAUCAAGCAUAUGUGCAGGAAACAAAACUAAUAUACAAAAGUCAACUCUAUAUAUACACUAGCAAUGAGUAAUCCAAAAUGAAAUUAGGCCAGGCACAGUGGCUCAUGCCUGUAAUCCCAACCCUUUGGGAGGCCGAGCGUGACUUGAGGUUAGGAGUUUGAGACCGGCCUAGCCAACAUGGUGAAACCCCACCAAUAUGAAAAAUACAAAAGAUUAGCUGGGCUUAGUGAUGCAUGCCUGUAAUCCUAGUUACUCAGACGGCUAAGGUAGGAGAAUUGCUUGAACCUGGGAGGUAGAGGUUGCAGUAAGCCAAGUGAUCACACCACUGCACUCCAACCUGGGUGACAGAGACUCCAUCUCAAAAAAAAAAAAAAAGGAAGUUAGCAAAACAAUUUCAUCAACAAUAGCAUCAAAAGCAUCAAAAAGAAUACAAUUCUUAGAAACAAUUUUAACCAAAAGAAGUGUAAGACUUGUGUGGGGAAAACUACAAAACAUUGUUUAAAAAAAUUAAAGAAGCUGGGCCAGGCGCGGUGGCUCAAGCCUGUAAUUCCAGCACUUUGGGAGGCCAAGGCGGGUGGAUCACAAGGUCAAGUGAUCGAGACCAUCCUGGUCAACAUGGUGAAACCCGUCUGUACUAAAAAUACAAAAAAAUUAGCUGGGCGUGGUGGCACAUGCCUGUAGUCCCAGCUACUCAGGAGGCUGAGGCAGGAGAAUUGCCUGAACCCAGGAAGCGGAGGUUGCGGUGAGCCGAGAUCGAGCCAUUGCACUCCAGCCUGGGUAACAAGAGCGAAACUCCAUCUCAAAAAAAAAAAAAUUAAAGAAGCCAAGUACGGUGGUUCAUGCCUAUAAUCCCAGCACUUUGAGAGGCUGAAGUGGAAGAACUGCUUGAAGCCAGAUGAUCGAGACUGGCCUGGGCAACAGAGGAAGCACCUGUCUCAAACCAGAGUUCUCAUGAAAGUUGAUAGAGGAGCCUGAUAGCAGCCCCACCCCCUUGCCACGGGAUCUUUGCACACACUGGCUUCCCUUCCCCUUCUCCCAGGAGUGGAAGCAGCCUGAGGCCCUCACCAGUUGCAAAUGCUGGUGCCAUGCUUCUUGCACAGCCAGCACAACUGAAGCACAGGAACCUUUUUUUCUUGAUAAAUUACCCAGCCUCAGGUAGUCCUUUACAGCAACACUAACAAACUAAGUCACAGAUUCAACACAAUCCCUAUCAAAUCUUAGCUGGCUUUAUCUAUCUAUCUAUCUAUAUAUAUAUAUUUUUUUUUUUUUUUGCAGAAAUUAACAAGCUAAUUUUAAGAUUAAUAAGGAAAUGCAAGGGAAUCAAAAAAUCAAAACUAUCUUGAAAAAGAACAAAGUUGGUGCACUCAUAUUUUCCAUGUCAAAAUUUAAUACAAAGUUACAGCAAUCAAAACUAGCUAGUACCAGUUUAAAGAUAUAUAAAUAUUUAUGGCUGGGCAUGGUGGCUCAUGCCAAUAAUCCCAGCAGUUUAGGAGGCUGAGGCAGGCAGAUCCUUGGGGCCCAGGACUUCAAGACCAGCCUGGGCAACAUGGUGAAACACUGUCUCUACAAAAAGUAAAAAAAAUGAUUAGCCAGGUGUAGUGGUGUGCACCUGUGGUCUCAGCUACUUGGGAGGCUGAGGUGGGAGGAUCGCGUGAGCCUGGAAGGUCAAGGCUGUAGUGAGUGGUGACUGCUACCACACUCCAGCCUGGGUAACAGAUCAAGAUCCUGUCUCAAGAAAAUAAUAAAGAUAGAUAUGCAAUCAAUAGAACAGAAUUGAGAGUCAAGAAAUACACCCCUUUUUUUUUUUUUUUUUUUUUGAG
Callithrix jacchus (white-tufted-ear marmoset) is the source of this 7891-nucleotide non-coding RNA. NCBI's taxonomy places the organism in Eukaryota, Metazoa, Chordata, Mammalia, Primates, Cebidae. The record is from RefSeq and is a predicted model, not a curated record.